UUCUAUGGCCAUACCACCCUGAAUGUGCCCAAUCUUGUCUGAUCUCAGAAAGCAAACAGGGUUGGGCCUGGUUUGUACUUGGAUGGGAGAAUGUAACACGGGAAGAAUCUUCGUGACACAGAGA
Molecule: ribosomal RNA, 124 nt
Filed under: Jaculus jaculus (lesser Egyptian jerboa)
Lineage: Eukaryota; Metazoa; Chordata; Mammalia; Rodentia; Dipodidae
Source: RNAcentral